UGGGGGUUGGCAUGGCUUUGGCAAUUAUCAUCGUUUAGACUCAUUACUACUGGGGGAUUAAUCUACUAUAACAGUGGUACAACAUACAAAUCUUUUGGUUUAACAAUUUUUUUUAUUUUAGAUUCACCAAUCAUCGAUGUGCCACUAUUAGCAUGGCUUUUGUAUCUUGGUUGAUUCAUUUUAUUAGGCUACUAUGACAUAGCACAAUUCUUUCGAUGCUGCUCCAGCUCUAUGAUUUCAUGUAGGUAACAAGUGUUCAAAAGAAUAUUGGUACUGUGUGUCGAAGUGCAAAGAUUGGUUGUUCGUAUGUUUGUAGCUCUAUAGUGUGGAUACUAAACAUUAUUAGUGAUGAAGCAGAGGGUAUCCCCCGAAUCCCAGGGCUCAGUUCUCAUCGAGCUGAAACAGUGGAGACGGCUGCUUCUCCUCAGAGGUAUUGUCCACUUCGGGAGGGGUUUCAUAGUCUCUUUCCCCCUCAUGGUUUUAUCCCGUAAAAGACGCCUCUGA
RNAcentral lists this long non-coding RNA (504 nucleotides) under Phoenix dactylifera (date palm). Its description in RNAcentral is "long non-coding RNA (PDAC_LNC007507)". The record is from RNAcentral. Lineage: Eukaryota; Viridiplantae; Streptophyta; Magnoliopsida; Arecales; Arecaceae.